CAGUUCCGACCCCGAACCGGUACUUUCGGCGCCCCCGGGCGUGCGCAAGAUUUAAACGGGAAACAGGAAGGCCAUGCCGCCGCGAGGCGGCCGCCCAGCCUGUGCUGCCCCCGCAACGGUCCCCACGGCGUUUCCGCCGUGGCAGCCCGACACCGGCCGGUUCGCUAGCCGGGCA
Molecule: non-coding RNA, 175 nt
Filed under: Bordetella hinzii
Lineage: Bacteria; Pseudomonadati; Pseudomonadota; Betaproteobacteria; Burkholderiales; Alcaligenaceae
Source: RNAcentral